RNAcentral lists this long non-coding RNA (821 nucleotides) under Malus domestica (apple). RNAcentral describes it as "long non-coding RNA (MDOM_LNC009255)". Lineage: Eukaryota; Viridiplantae; Streptophyta; Magnoliopsida; Rosales; Rosaceae. The record is from RNAcentral.
UCCCACAUUCUCAAGACGUGAACUGUUUGAGGCCACGAAUAUCUUUUAAUUCUUUUGGGUGGUAGGAAGCAGUAGCACCCACUCUCCGCUCUCUUGCAAUUGGAGUCCCUCGGUUGCCGAUUCACAUGGCAUCUAAUUUCCAUGGAAAAUAUUUUAUCCAAAAUUAAACAAAUAAUCAAGCCUUUCGGUGAAAAUAACGGAUACCUAUCCACACUCAUUUUUACUUAUCACAUACCUCUCUCAAUUUUCUGCCGUUGGAUCGAAUGAAUUAAAGAAGAUCAAUGACAAAAAGUUAACAAGAAUAUGUGGAGGUAAAAAUGAGUGUGUGAAUAGCACCAUCCUUUAGAAUCCAUCACCUUUUAGCCUUAUUGCCAAAAUUGUCACCUUCACUACUUGUUUUGCUCUUUCUACGACAUCCGGAGAAACUUUUUAGUAUGUCGUUUAUAUGAAAGAAUUGAUAUAUGAGGAAACGAUAUAGUUGAUAUAUCUCGGAUACAAGAUAUACUAUAACAUAUGAAAGAAUUGAUAUUAUGUAACGGUGUGAUAAUCACAUUAAAAAGUUGUUCCAAUUUCUGCACAACAAGUAAUCAAGUUUGCAACUAAAUGCAUUUCACAAAAAGUAAAGAGUUGUGUAAACAGAAUAAUGACUAGAGAUUUGUGACAGCAAAUACAGGAAAUAUUAUCUUUGAAUUUUUUGUGGUUACUCUCUUGAUUCUUUUUUUUUUUUUGGGAAACGACUCUCUUGAUUCUUUUGCUUUGCAAGUUGCAACUUUUAUUUCUAAAAAAUGAUUCUUUUCCCACUUUCAGCAGCCCACAAUAAG